CGCCUUUUCUUUUUUUCUAGCAGGGCGCGACGCAGAUUGAGGAUUCCCAGGUAUGUUUUCUGUUAAGACCUUUGUGUAUGUCUAAUUGGCCUUUUCUUUUUUCUGGCAGGGCGCGACGCAGAUUGAGGAUUCCCAGGUAUGUUUUCUGUUAAGACCUUUGUGUAUGUCUAAUUGCGCCUUUUCUUUUUUUCUAGCAGGGCGCGACGCAGAUUGAGGAUUUCAGGUAUGUUUUCUGUUAAGACCUUUGUGUAUGUCUAAUGUUGCCUUUUCUUUUUUUCUGGCAGGGCGCGACGCAGAUUGAGGAUUUUCAGGUAUGUUAUCUGUUAAGACCUUGGUGUACGUCUAAUGUUGCCUUUUCUUUUUUUCUGGCAGGGCGCGACACAGAUUGGAGAUUCGCAGGUAUGUUUUCCGUUAAGGCCUUUGUGUAUGUCUAAUGUCGCCUUUUCCUUUUUUCUAGCAGGGCGAGACGCAGAUUGAGGAUUUUCAGGUAUGUUUUCUGGUAAGGCCUUUGUGUAUGUCUAAUGUCGCCUUUUCUUUUUUUCUAGCAGGGCGCGACGCAGAUUGAGGAUUUUCAGGUAUGUUUUCUGUUAAGACCUUUGUGUAUGUUUAAUGUUGCCUUUUCUUUUUUUCUGGCAGGGCACGACGCAGAUUGAGGAUUUUCAGGUAUGUUUUCUGUUAAGGUUUUUGUGUAUGUCUAAUGUCGCCUUUUCUUUUUCUGGCAGGGCGCGACGCAGAUUAAGGAAUUCCAGGUAUGUUUUCUGUUAAGAUCUUUGUGUAUGUCUAAUGUUGUCUUUUCUUUUUUUCUGGCAGGGCGCGACGCAGAUUGGAGAUUCGCAGGUAUGUUUUCUGUUAAGACCUUUGUGUAUGUCUAAAGUUGCUUUUCUUUUUUUCUAGCAGGGCGCGACGCAGAUUGAGGAUUCCAGGUAUGUUUUCUGUUAAGACCUUUGUGUAUGUCUAAUGGUUUCUUUUUUUUUUCCUUUAGGUCGUGUGGCCUUUUUUUUUUUUUGCAGGGCGCGCGACGCAGAUUGAGGAUUCCAGGUAUGUUUUUCUGUUAAGACCUUUGUGUAUGUCUAAUGUGCGCCUUUUCUUUUUUUCUAGCAGGGCGCGACGCAGAUUGAGGAUUCCAGGUAUGUUUUCUGUUAAGACCUUUGUGUAUGUCUAAUGUUGUCUUUUCUUUUUUUCUAGCAGGUCGCGACGCAGAUUGAGGAAUUCCAGGUAUGUUUUCUGUUAAGACCUUUGUGUAUGUCUAAUGUUGUCUUUUCUUUUUUUUCUAGCAGGGCGCGACGCAGAUUGAGGAUUUUCAGGUAUGUUUUCUGUUAAGA
This 1322-nucleotide long non-coding RNA is filed under the name Mytilus galloprovincialis (Mediterranean mussel). The record is from RNAcentral. Lineage: Eukaryota; Metazoa; Mollusca; Bivalvia; Mytilida; Mytilidae.